Molecule: long non-coding RNA, 1107 nt
Filed under: Gallus gallus (chicken)
Lineage: Eukaryota; Metazoa; Chordata; Aves; Galliformes; Phasianidae
Source: RNAcentral
CUUCAGCUGGAGCAUAAAAACUGUGCUGAGCCACCAAAAUGGGAAAAAGUAAACGUUGAAAUAGAGGGACAUCUGUAGUGGUAAACUGGAAAGUAUUUCAUUAUCUGCGCGCUCGCUGGGGUACUGCGGGCCGGCGCGGCGGCUGUCUGUGAAAACGGUGCGGCUGAAGGAGCCCAGUCGGCGCCGCAGAGGCUCGGGCAGCGACAUGCCGCGGGCCGCUGUCGGCCUGGAGACGGGGCGGGGGCGCGCAGGCGCGGUGGAAGACGUGGAGCUCCGCCAGAAGUGCCGGGGCGAAGCGCAGUGCGGGGCUGAUUCCUUCUGGGAAGGAGGGAUGCGUGCAGGAAAUUGCGCUCCGCACCGCCAGAAUGAAGGAGCAGCUCGUGCCCUGCACUACAAGGAGUGAUAACAGCAGUGGUUUCACUGCGCCUAAUGUGACACGUCAGUUCCCAUCUCCCAAAUCCCCCCCAUUUCCUCUCUCCUUUCCCAAAAUCGCAUUUUGCUACUUUCCCGGGUGAUCAUUCUCCAGUAUGACUUUCCAAACUCAAUUACCUCUGAAUAAUUUAAAGCCUAGUUUAAAUUUAAUUUCUUUCUAUCCCACUGGGAAAACUGCAGAAAGAGACGGCCGAUAAAGCUCGAGUUCUGAGAAAUCCAUUUGGCUUAUGGGCAGGCGGACGGGUGCUGUGUGACUGCAGACAUUUUUCAUACAGUUCUGCAAGCAGAUGUGGCAGCAGGAAUCGGCACCAAGCCUUCCCCCCCCAAAUACAAACCAACCAACCAACCGCAAAACCCAAGCAAACCAACCUGAAGACCUUCAGAAGAGAUGAGGAGGAAGGGAUUUUCAAAUGGCAAGAGAUUGGAAGGGAGAAGGUAUUAUAGAUACCUCUUAAUUUCAAGGGGUGCUGUGCAUGUCCCCUUAUAGGCGGGGAAGGCAACAAGCUUUACUGCGUGAGUGCUCUUAAUAAGAUAAAUCUUAAGGUGCGGCUGAGGCUUAUUCCUAUUUCGUAGGUUAAACAGGUGAGGUUUAAUCCUGAGAAAUGUUCUUUGCGGUUUCUGUUGCAACCCACAGGAAAGGGUACAUCAUUCAGCAGAGGUCCUGGAGCCAAGGAG